AGAGGGAACUGGAGCCUUUCUUGCUAAGCUUUUUGUUUAGUGAGGGAGCAAGCCAGCCUGGGCAGUUGGAAAAACUUCCCACCCUCUCCUUUCUCCCCUAGGGCAGGGAGGCUUCAGGCUUCUUGAGCUGUGAUAUGUUGUAAAAGACUCUUCUGCUGGCUCUGCUGCUGCAUGGUUUUAUAUCUGUGGGGCAGAAGGCUUCAUUAGCACACAAAGCUUCUGGUAAAUGUGCCUCUAAAAGAUCUUUCCCUCCUUCAGGAGAGUGCCAAGCUCCUCUCAGCAAGACUCUGGACAAGACCCUUUUCUCCAAUUCUGCCCACCACUGCCAUGGUGACCUCCUUUGCUAUGUGAGGGAGAAUGUAUCCUGCAGUUCUGGACAAGCUCCACAUCUGCACCCUGCUGUGGGCCACAGCUCUGUGCAGCCUCCUUACUUCCAAAAAGCUCGGCUUUUCACCCGCUCCUCUCUGUGGGGGGAAGUAGCUCCUUUGGGAGCUUCGAGAUGAAGCUGAGAUCAAGUGAGGCUGAACAUUCCUCUCCUGCUUCUGCUGCAGACGACUUCCACUGCUGCUCCGUGUGCUGUAGAGUCUGGUGCUCACACCCUCAGCGCUCCUCGGCAGCUCCUUCAGAGACCUGCUCAGCUGCUUGCCUUUGCUGUGGAACAUCUCACGCUUGUGGACAGGAUUUCUCUCUUGGGGAGAGUGGCUCUGUACCCAGAAGUGUGUCAGGAGUACUUGGAGGUCUGCUACCCUCCUCAUGUUCCAGGUCUUCAUUGCAUUGGAAGAGGAGACUAUAGUGUGAGAUGAAAACCCGGAGGCGCUGCACACACACCAGCAGCAGGCACUUAGAAUCUGAGAAAUCAACAGCAGAAAGGCUUUCCCUGCCAAACAUCAAUCCUUGGCAUUGACCAUCAGGUAUUGGACACUUCAGGGACACAGGUUUGUCCUCACAUCUCAGCUGCAAGUAUGAAAAUAGAGUUUAAUAUUUUCGUACCUGGACCUGCUAUGACUUUCACACCUCCUUCUCCCAUUGGCAUGAUCCUGGUGUCAGACACUGUUGAAGAACAAAGCACUAUAGGAACAAAGAUCCAGUCUGCAUCCCUUUCCUUGGAGGAGGCAAGCAAGAGCUUUGGGGACUGUUCACAAAGCAACAUCUCCUGAAUCCAGGCCAGCACCAAGGCUGCUAUCCUGAGACACUGUGCUGAGAUGU
Manacus vitellinus (golden-collared manakin) is the source of this 1206-nucleotide long non-coding RNA. RefSeq lists it as uncharacterized. NCBI's taxonomy places the organism in Eukaryota, Metazoa, Chordata, Aves, Passeriformes, Pipridae. The record is from RefSeq and is a predicted model, not a curated record. The transcript has 7 exons.